CGGGGCGUAGCGCAGCUCGGUAGCGCGCCUGCUUCGGGAGCAGGAGGUCCCGGGUUCAAAUCCCGGCGCCCCGA
RNAcentral lists this transfer RNA (74 nucleotides) under Gemmatimonadota bacterium. RNAcentral describes it as "Gemmatimonadetes bacterium (bioreactor metagenome) tRNA-Pro". It matches the Rfam family "tRNA". Rfam says of the family: Transfer RNA (tRNA) molecules are approximately 80 nucleotides in length. Their secondary structure includes four short double-helical elements and three loops (D, anti-codon, and T loops). Further hydrogen bonds mediate the characteristic L-shaped molecular structure. tRNAs have two regions of fundamental functional importance: the anti-codon, which is responsible for specific mRNA codon recognition, and the 3' end, to which the tRNAs corresponding amino acid is attached (by aminoacyl-tRNA synthetases). tRNAs cope with the degeneracy of the genetic code in two manners: having more than one tRNA (with a specific anti-codon) for a particular amino acid; and 'wobble' base-pairing, i.e. permitting non-standard base-pairing at the 3rd anti-codon position. The record is from RNAcentral. RNAcentral also lists the same sequence under 1 other name. Lineage: Bacteria; Pseudomonadati; Gemmatimonadota.